GCCCAUGUAGUAUAGUGGUUAGUACUCCACGUUGUGGCCUUGGCGACGCUGGUUCGAUUCCAGCCAUGGGCA
Molecule: non-coding RNA, 72 nt
Organism: Pristionchus pacificus
Lineage: Eukaryota; Metazoa; Nematoda; Chromadorea; Rhabditida; Neodiplogasteridae
Source: Rfam